Molecule: ribosomal RNA, 492 nt
Filed under: uncultured Haloferax sp.
Lineage: Archaea; Methanobacteriati; Methanobacteriota; Halobacteria; Halobacteriales; Haloferacaceae
Description: bacterial SSU rRNA
Rfam family: Archaeal small subunit ribosomal RNA
Source: RNAcentral
GCUAUUGGGGUCCGAUUUAGCCAUGCUAGUUGCACGAGUUUAGACUCGUGGCGAAAAGCUCAGUAACACGUGGUCAAACUACCCUACGAAGACCCAUAACCUCGGGAAACUGAGGCUAAUAGGUCAUAGGUGAGUUACGCUGGAAUGCCAACUCUCCCAAACGCUCAGGCGUCGUAGGAUGUGGCUGCGGCCGAUUAGGUAGACGGUGGGGUAACGGCCCACCGUGCCGAUAAUCGGUACGGGUUGUGAGAGCAAGAGCCCGGAGACGGAAUCUGAGACAAGAUUCCGGGCCCUACGGGGCGCAGCAGGCGCGAAACCUUUACACUGCACGCAAGUGCGAUAAGGGGACCCCAAGUGCGAGGGCAUAUAGUCCUCGCUUUUUCCGACCGUAAGGUGGUCGGCGAAUAAGGGCUGGGCAAGACCGGUGCCAGCCGCCGCGGUAAUACCGGCAGCCCAAGUGAUGACCGAUAUUAUUGGGCCUAAAGCGUCCGU